CACGUACUUCCUCCGUCCAAAAAUACUUGUCAUCAAAAUGGAUAAAAAGAGAUGUAUCUAGAACUAAAAUACAUCUAGAUACAUCCCUUUUAUCAAUUUUGGUGACAAGUAUUUCCGGACGGAGGGAGUACAUA
Molecule: non-coding RNA, 134 nt
Organism: Triticum aestivum (bread wheat)
Lineage: Eukaryota; Viridiplantae; Streptophyta; Magnoliopsida; Poales; Poaceae
Source: Rfam